CGGGCCGUAGCGCAGUCUGGCUAGCGCGCUUCGUUCGGGACGAAGAGGUCGGUGGUUCAAAUCCACUCGGCCCGACCA
This 78-nucleotide transfer RNA is filed under the name Puniceicoccales bacterium. RNAcentral describes it as "tRNA-Pro". It matches the Rfam family "tRNA". From Rfam's summary of the family: Transfer RNA (tRNA) molecules are approximately 80 nucleotides in length. Lineage: Bacteria; Pseudomonadati; Verrucomicrobiota; Opitutia; Puniceicoccales. The record is from RNAcentral.